RNAcentral lists this ribosomal RNA (1715 nucleotides) under human gut metagenome. RNAcentral describes it as "bacterial LSU rRNA". It matches the Rfam family "Bacterial large subunit ribosomal RNA", at positions 521 to 2110 of the family's 2925-position model. The record is from RNAcentral.
GCACUUCGAACAGAAGAGUGAAACAGUUCCUGAAACCGUGCGCCUACAAUCCGUCGGAGCCUCCUUGUGGGGUGACGGCGUGCCUAUCGAAAAAUGAGUCUGCGAGUCAGUGGUGCGUGGCGAGGCUAACCCGUGGUGGGGGAGCCGUAGCGAAGGCGAGUCUCAAAAGGCGUUUUGAGUCGCGCGCCCUGGACCCGAAGCGGGAUGAUCUAGCCCUGGGCAGGUUGAAGCGCGGGUAAGACCGCGUGGAGGACCGAACCCACCUGGGUUGAAAACCGGGGGGAUGACCUGGGGCUAGGGGUGAAAGGCCAAUCAAAUUCCGUGAUAGCUGGUUCUCUCCGAAAUGCAUUUAGGUGCAGCGUCGGUUGAUUGCAUCGCGGGGGUAGAGCUACUGGAUGCUUGCGGGCCCGUGUCGGGUACCAAUAGCAGCCAAACUCCGAAUACCGUGGAUGUGUAUUCCGGCAGUGAGUCGGCGGGGGAUAAGCUCCGUCGUCGAGAGGGAGACAGCCCAGAUCGUCGUCUAAGGUCCCGAAGCGUGUGCUAAGUGGGAAAGGAUGUGGAGUCGCAUAGACAGCCAGGAGGUUGGCUCAGAAGCAGCCAUCCUUUAAAGAGUGCGUAACAGCUCACUGGUCUAGUGGUUCCGCGCCGACAAUGUAGCGGGGCUCAAGCACACCACCGAAGACGCGGCAGCGGCCUUUGCGGCCGUUGGGUAGGAGAGCGUCCCGCGUGGGGCGAAGCGGCCGGGGAACCGUGCCGUGGACCGCGCGGGAGUGAGAAUGCAGACAUGAGUAGCGAGAGACGGGUGAGGAUCCCGUCCGCUGGAUGACCAAGGGUUCCGGGGCCACGUUCGUCGUCCCCGGGUGAGUCGGGUCCUAAGGCGAGGCCGACAGGCGUAGUCGAAUGGAUGAACGGGUGGAUAUUCCCGUACCGGCGGCGUACCGUAAGAGCCGAACGGAUGAGUACUAACCUCCGGUCGCGUGGCGUCGUUCCCUUCGGGGUUCGGGGCGCGUGGCUGUUGGGAAUGUAGUCCUGGUAGGCUAGCGCACAGGGGUGACACGGAAUGGGAGCCGGCCGCGGAGGUGGUUUUCCGUGGUCAAGCACGCAGCCCGUCCCAUAGGCAAAUCCGUGGGACGCAUAGGGUGAGGUGUGAUGAUGGGCGUCCUUUGGACGCGAUAUCCGGUGGUCCAGGCCGUCGAGAAAAGCCUCGGCGCGAGGGGCGUCGCCGCCCGUACCCCAAACCGACACUGGUGGUCAGGUAGAGAAUACCAAGGCGAUCGAGCGAAUCCUGGUCAAGGAACUCGGCAAAUCACUCCCGUGCCUUCGGUAUAAGGGAGACCCCCGGGCGUGAAGAGGCUUGCCCUCGGAGCGUUGGGGGGUGGCACAGACCAGGGGGUAGCGACUGUUUACCAAAAACACAGGUGCAUGCGAAGGCGCAAGCCGCUGUAUAUGCACUGACGCCUGCCCGGUGCCGGAAGGUUAAGAGGAUCCGUCAGCCCCUUUUGGGGUGAAGCGGUGAAUUCAAGCCCCGGUAAACGGCGGUGGUAACUAUAACCAUCCUAAGGUAGCGAAAUUCCUUGUCGGGUAAGUUCCGACCUGCACGAAUGGCGUAACGACUUCUCCGCUGUCUCAACCGCGAACUCGGUGAAAUUGCAGUACGAGUAAAGAUGCUCGUUUCGCGCAGAAGGACGGAAAGACCCCGGGACCUUUACUAUAGC